AUGAACGCUGGCGGCGUGCCUAAUACAUGCACGUCGAGCGAACAGAUCAGGAGCUUGCUCCUUUGAAGUUAGCGGCGGACGGGUGAGUAACACGUGGGUAACCUACCUAUAAGACUGGGAUAACUUUGGGAAACCGGAGCUAAUACCGGAUAACAUUUAGAACCGCAUGGUUCUAAAGUGAAAGAUGGUUUUGCUAUCACUUAUAGAUGGACCCGCGCCGUAUUAGCUAGUUGGUAAGGUAACGGCUUACCAAGGCGACGAUACGUAGCCGACCUGAGAGGGUGAUCGGCCACACUGGAACUGAGACACGGUCCAGACUCCUACGGGAGGCAGCAGUAGGGAAUCUUCCGCAAUGGGCGAAAGCCUGACGGAGCAACGCCGCGUGAGUGAUGAAGGGUUUCGGCUCGUAAAACUCUGUUAUUAGGGAAGAACAAAUGUGUAAGUAACUGUGCACAUCUUGACGGUACCUAAUCAGAAAGCCACGGCUAACUACGU
RNAcentral lists this ribosomal RNA (495 nucleotides) under uncultured bacterium. RNAcentral describes it as "partial 16S ribosomal RNA". It matches the Rfam family "Bacterial small subunit ribosomal RNA", at positions 29 to 506 of the family's 1533-position model. The record is from RNAcentral.